This 253-nucleotide ribosomal RNA is filed under the name uncultured bacterium. RNAcentral's name for it is "partial 16S ribosomal RNA". It matches the Rfam family "Bacterial small subunit ribosomal RNA", at positions 524 to 776 of the family's 1533-position model. The record is from RNAcentral.
UACGUAGGGUGCAAGCGUUAAUCGGAAUUACUGGGCGGAAAGCGUGCGCAGGCGGUGAUGGAAGACAGAUGUGAAAUCCCCGGGCUCAACCUGGGAACUGCAUUUGUGACUGCAUCGCUGGAGUGCGGCAGAGGGGGAUGGAAUUCCGCGUGUAGCAGUGAAAUGCGUAGAUAUGCGGAGGAACACCGAUGGCGAAGGCAAUCCCCUGGGCCUGCACUGACGCUCAUGCACGAAAGCGUGGGGAGCAAACAGG